GAUUGACAUUAUCACCAUUCUUAUUUUGGAUGAGUUUUUUUCCAAUAUUAUGUCGAAAUGUCUGUAGAGAUGUAAACUAUGGCAGGAAAUUACUAGACACAAAAUUAAAAUUCUUUGUCCAUUUUAAACAACUGAAACAGGAUGUAAGAAAGUGUUUUUCUCUCCCCCCAUUCAGGUACAAAGAACUAGUUCGCUAUUUGAAAGCAGUAAAGUGUAAUGAAGGCGUUGGGUUAAGGGAUCUUAGAGACAAGAUUCCUUUCUACUUGUGCAAAAGUGGUGAUUUCACCAGUGCUGCGUACUCAUUACUACUUCCCAUCAACAACCUGGCCUGCUGCACAGCCUGUCGACUCGCACCCUUGGAGUUUGAGUGCUACCUGAAGAUGUUCUGGACAGGAAGUGUCCCCUCAGGGAAGGAUUUCCAGGACUCUAAUGAGUGGAUUUUGAACGUGGGUUCUCCUGUAAAGUGUUGUACACUAAUUAAGCAGGCCCUCCGAGUACUCUACAACAAUCAGUCCUUGUACAGAAAUGUAAGAACUCCAUUCAUAUUUAUUCAUUCUUCAUUCACAUUAUAUUC
Molecule: long non-coding RNA, 574 nt
Filed under: Sarcophilus harrisii (Tasmanian devil)
Lineage: Eukaryota; Metazoa; Chordata; Mammalia; Dasyuromorphia; Dasyuridae
Description: lncRNA (ENSSHAG00000029241.1)
Source: RNAcentral